This 207-nucleotide ribosomal RNA is filed under the name uncultured bacterium. RNAcentral's name for it is "partial 16S ribosomal RNA". It matches the Rfam family "Bacterial small subunit ribosomal RNA", at positions 568 to 774 of the family's 1533-position model. The record is from RNAcentral.
AGCGUAGACGGUGUGGCAAGUCUGAUGUGAAAGGCAUGGGCUCAACCUGUGGACUGCAUUGGAAACUGUCAUACUUGAGUGCCGGAGGGGUAAGCGGAAUUCCUAGUGUAGCGGUGAAAUGCGUAGAUAUUAGGAGGAACACCAGUGGCGAAGGCGGCUUACUGGACGGUAACUGACGUUGAGGCUCGAAAGGCGUGGGAGCAAACA